CGGGGGGGAGCAAGCGUUGUUCGGAUUUACUGGGCGUAAAGCGUGCGCAGGCGGUUUAGUAAGACAGGCGUGAAAUCCCCGGGCUCAACCUGGGAACUGCGCUUGUGACUGCUAAGCUAGAGUACGGCAGAGGGGGGUGGAAUUCCACGUGUAGCAGUGAAAUGCGUAGAGAUGUGGAGGAACACCAAUGGCGAAGGCAGCCCCCUGGGUCGAUACUGACGCUCAUGCACGAAAGCGUGGGUAGCAAACAGGAUUAGAUACCCUGGUAGUCCACGCCCUAAACGAUGUCAACUAGGUGUUGGGAGGGUAAAACCUUUUAGUACCGGAGCUAACGCGUGAAGUUGACCGCCUGGGGAGUACGGCCGCAAGGUUA
This 373-nucleotide ribosomal RNA is filed under the name uncultured organism. Its description in RNAcentral is "bacterial SSU rRNA". It matches the Rfam family "Bacterial small subunit ribosomal RNA", at positions 525 to 896 of the family's 1533-position model. The record is from RNAcentral.